AUGGCCAGGAACUCCCCGAGCGUCGGCGGCAUCAAGCGGAGCUCCUCCGCGAGACGAACAUCCUCGUCCUCGGCAAUGUCGGCCCAGCGCAGGCUGCGCGGCACCCAGGCCGGAGGAGCAGAGGACAGGGAAGCCGGAUCCGUUGUCCGCCCGGCCACCACGGAGUCCGCGGAGGCGGACGACCAUCAGGUCGCCGUGUAUCCGCCUUGGCUACGUGCAUUCAGGAUUCCAGGUCUGGUGGUUCGGAUGGAGAGGUAG
This 258-nucleotide ribosomal RNA is filed under the name Triticum aestivum (bread wheat). Its description in RNAcentral is "partial small subunit ribosomal RNA". Lineage: Eukaryota; Viridiplantae; Streptophyta; Magnoliopsida; Poales; Poaceae. The record is from RNAcentral.